Molecule: unclassified non-coding RNA, 204 nt
Filed under: Hevea brasiliensis (rubber tree)
Lineage: Eukaryota; Viridiplantae; Streptophyta; Magnoliopsida; Malpighiales; Euphorbiaceae
Source: RNAcentral
AAGUAUGCAAUAUCUCUGAACAAUGCAUCCAAGCUACAUCUUUUUUUUUUCUUUUACAGAACUUAGAUUGCCUAGAUCAUCUAGCUGUUUUUCUGAAACUAAUAAUUGUCCACUGUCAUUGAGUUUAUGAAGUUAAGAGGUGACCUAGGUAUGACUAAAUACUUAUUACUGAUGAUUAUUUCUGGUGUACAUCAAAUUGAAAUG